RNAcentral lists this non-coding RNA (20 nucleotides) under Arabidopsis thaliana (thale cress). The record is from RNAcentral. Lineage: Eukaryota; Viridiplantae; Streptophyta; Magnoliopsida; Brassicales; Brassicaceae. RNAcentral also lists the same sequence under 1 other name.
GUCAGGAUGGCCGAGUGGUC